AGUGAACGCUGGCGGUAGGCCUAACACAUGCAAGUCGAACGGCAGCACAGUAAGAGCUUGCUCUUACGGGUGGCGAGUGGCGGACGGGUGAGGAAUACAUCGGAAUCUACUUUUUCGUGGGGGAUCACGUAGGGAAACUUACGCUAAUACCGCAUACGACCUACGGGUGAAAGCAGGGGAUCUUCGGACCUUGCGCGAUUGAAUGAGCCGAUGUCGGAUUAGCUAGUUGGCGGGGUAAAGGCCCACCAAGGCGACGAUCCGUAGCUGGUCUGAGAGGAUGAUCAGCCACACUGGAACUGAGACACGGUCCAGACUCCUACGGGAGGCAGCAGUGGGGAAUAUUGGACAAUGGGCGCAAGCCUGAUCCAGCCAUACCGCGUGGGUGAAGAAGGCCUUCGAGUUGUAAAGCACUUUUGUUGGGAAAGAAAAGCAGCAGGUUAAUACCCCGCUGUUCUGACGGUACCCAAAGAAGAAGCACCGGCUAACUUCGUG
This 492-nucleotide ribosomal RNA is filed under the name uncultured bacterium. RNAcentral's name for it is "partial 16S ribosomal RNA". It matches the Rfam family "Bacterial small subunit ribosomal RNA", at positions 29 to 507 of the family's 1533-position model. The record is from RNAcentral.